Molecule: long non-coding RNA, 554 nt
Filed under: Homo sapiens (human)
Lineage: Eukaryota; Metazoa; Chordata; Mammalia; Primates; Hominidae
Description: PREDICTED lncRNA (TCONS_00229604)
Source: RNAcentral
AGGAAAUUUCUGGUGGGCCUUCGCGGCUCCGCUGGGUUGGCAGCCGCUUGAGCCACUGCGAGGAAAGCAAAGUCUGGGCCAUGGAGAUGAGCCUAGUCCUGCUGUUCCUGAUCCGCACUGCCCUUUUUGCACCCCAGGGAGCUGCUGCUGAGACUGGGUUUCACCAUGUUGACCGGGAUGGUCUCAAUCUCCUGACCUCGUGAUCUGCCUGCCUAAGCCUCCCGAAGUGCUGGGAUUACAGGCGUGAGCCACCACACCUAGCUGGUAAUUCAUUUUUUAAUUUUUGGAGGAAUCAACACACUGUUUUCCAUAACAGGUGCCCUAUUUUGUAUUUCCAAAUGCAUUACACAAAGGUUCCAGUUUCGCAACCUGUUUGCCAAACUUGAUAUUUCUGUGUGUGUGUGUGUGUGUGUGUGUGUGUGUGUUUGAUAAUAGCCAAACUAAUUGGUGUAAAGUAAUAGUUCAUUGUGGUUUUGAUUUGCAUUUCCCUAAUGACUGCUGAUGCUGAGCGUCUUUUCAUGUGUCUGUUGGCCAUUUGUACAUCUUGUUUGGGG